This 497-nucleotide ribosomal RNA is filed under the name uncultured bacterium. RNAcentral describes it as "partial 16S ribosomal RNA". It matches the Rfam family "Bacterial small subunit ribosomal RNA", at positions 28 to 507 of the family's 1533-position model. The record is from RNAcentral.
GAUGAACGCUGGCGGCGUGCCUAAUACAUGCAAGUCGAGCGAACGGACGAGAAGCUUGCUUCUCUGAUGUUAGCGGCGGACGGGUGAGUAACACGUGGAUAACCUACCUAUAAGACUGGGAUAACUUCGGGAAACCGGAGCUAAUACCGGAUAAUAUUUUGAACCGCAUGGUUCAAAAGUGAAAGACGGUCUUGCUGUCACUUAUAGAUUGAUCCGCGCUGCAUUAGCUAGUUGGUAAGGUAACGGCUUACCAAGGCAACGAUGCAUAGCCGACCUGAGAGGGUGAUCGGCCACACUGGAACUGAGACACGGUCCAGACUCCUACGGGAGGCAGCAGUAGGGAAUCUUCCGCAAUGGGCGAAAGCCUGACGGAGCAACGCCGCGUGAGUGAUGAAGGUCUUCGGAUCGUAAGACUCUGUUAUUAGGGAAGAACAUAUGUGUAAGUAACUGUGCACAUCUUGACGGUACCUAAUCAGAAAGCCACGGCUAACUACGUG